This 107-nucleotide ribosomal RNA is filed under the name Salmonella enterica subsp. enterica serovar Enteritidis. The record is from RNAcentral. Lineage: Bacteria; Pseudomonadati; Pseudomonadota; Gammaproteobacteria; Enterobacterales; Enterobacteriaceae.
CGGCGCGCGGUGGUCCCACCUGACCCCAUGCCGAACUCAGAAGUGAAACGCCGUAGCGCCGAUGGUAGUGUGGGGUCUCCCCAUGCGAGAGUAGGGAACUGCCAGGC